UACGUAGGGUGCAAGCGUUGUCCGGAAUUAUUGGGCGUAAAGGGCGCGUAGGCGGCUCAACAAGUCAAUUGUGAAAUCUCCGGGCUUAACCCGGAGCGGCCAAGUGAUACUGUCGGGCUAGAGUGCGGAAGGGGCUACUGGAAUUCUCGGUGUAGCGGUGAGAUGCGUAGAUAUCGAGAGGAACACCUGCGGCGAAGGCGGGUAGCUGGGCCGACACUGACGCUGAUGCGCGAAAGCCAGGGGAGCGAACGGG
This 253-nucleotide ribosomal RNA is filed under the name uncultured bacterium. RNAcentral's name for it is "partial 16S ribosomal RNA". It matches the Rfam family "Bacterial small subunit ribosomal RNA", at positions 524 to 776 of the family's 1533-position model. The record is from RNAcentral.